CGUAGGUGCGAGCGUUGUCCGGAAUUACUGGCGUAAGAGCUCGUAGGCGGUUGUCACGUCGUCUGUGAAAUCCCUCGGCUUAACCGGGCGUGCAGGCGAUACGGGCAGACUUGAGUACUACAGGGAGACUGGAAUUCCUGGUGUAGCGGUGAAAUGCGCAGAUAUCAGGAGGAACACCGGUGGCGAAGGCGGGUCUCUGGGUAGUAACUGACGCUGAGGAGCGAAAGCAUGGGUAGCGAACAGGAUU
Molecule: ribosomal RNA, 247 nt
Filed under: uncultured bacterium
Lineage: Bacteria
Description: partial 16S ribosomal RNA
Rfam family: Bacterial small subunit ribosomal RNA
Source: RNAcentral